Molecule: ribosomal RNA, 497 nt
Filed under: uncultured bacterium
Lineage: Bacteria
Description: partial 16S ribosomal RNA
Rfam family: Bacterial small subunit ribosomal RNA
Source: RNAcentral
GAUGAACGCUGGCGGCGUGCCUAAUACAUGCAAGUCGAGCGAACAGAUGAGGAGCUUGCUCCUCUGACGUUAGCGGCGGACGGGUGAGUAACACGUGGAUAACCUACCUAUAAGACUGGGAUAACUUCGGGACACCGGAGCUAAUACCGGAUAAUAUAUUGAACCGCAUGGUUCAAUAGUGAAAGACGGUUUUGCUGUCACUUAUAGAUGGAUCCGCGCCGCAUUAGCUAGUUGGUAAGGUAACGGCUUACCAAGGCAACGAGGCGUAGCCGACCUGGGAGGGUGAUCGGCCGCACGGGAACUGGGACACGGUCCAGACUCCUACGGGAGGCAGCAGUAGGGAAUCUUCCGCAGUGGGCGGAAGCCUUACGGAGCGGCGCCGCGUGAGUGAUGAAGGUCUUCGGAUCGUAAAGCUCUGUUAUGAGGGAAGAACAAAUGUGUAAUUAACUAUGCACGUCUUGACGGUACCGAGUCAGAAAGCAACGGCUAACUACGUG